UACGUAGGUGGCAAGCGUUGUCCGGAUUUACUGGGCGUAAAGCGAACGCAGGCGGACUGUUAAGUAGGAAGUGAAAGGUUGGAGCUCAACUCUAACACUGCUCCCUAUACUGGCAGUCUUGAGUGGCGGAGAGGGAGAUGGAACGACACGUGUAGCGGUGAAAUGCGUUGAUAUGUGUCGGAACACCAAUGGCGAAAGCAAUCUCCUGGACGCAAACUGACGCUGAGGUUCGAAAGCCAAGGUAGCAAACAGG
RNAcentral lists this ribosomal RNA (253 nucleotides) under uncultured bacterium. RNAcentral's name for it is "partial 16S ribosomal RNA". It matches the Rfam family "Bacterial small subunit ribosomal RNA", at positions 524 to 776 of the family's 1533-position model. The record is from RNAcentral.